Long non-coding RNA from Bos taurus (domestic cattle), 3628 nucleotides. The record is from Ensembl. Lineage: Eukaryota; Metazoa; Chordata; Mammalia; Artiodactyla; Bovidae.
GUAAGUAUCUACUGAUUUUUCACCCUUAUUGAUUACAGGCUUCCUGAGAGCAAGGACUGUGUCUUGGAUUCAUUACUCUGUCUCUCGCACCUUCAACUGUCCUUGGAAGCCACACUACCAGCCCAUACCCUGAAUCCACGUGAAUUAGAAAGAAAGGACACUCCUGCCUCAAAUUACUAGAACGUCACCACCUGUGACCAGAGUGUUCCUUGUAAAACUGCUUGGUAAUUGUGAAGUAAGUGACAUCCUCGGGUGGCAGGCAACCUGGGAGCAUGAUUUGCUCCAUUAUAUAAACAUCACCCCUGAGCUGACAAGGUUGUUACUAGUUUCCUUUGCUCUACACGCAACAAGCCAAAUGCUGAGAAACCAAGGUUUACAACCGAGAAAGAGUUUAUGCACAAGGCCGUUAAACAAGGAAACGGAAAACAAGACUUAGCUCUGCUUCCCUGAAGCCAAGAGGGUUGCAAUGUUUAUGGAAUGAGCAGGGAUGAGGAGGGUGGUCCUCAGUUCAGUUCAGUCGCUCAGUCGUGCCCGACUCUUCACGAACCCAUGAAUCGCAGCAUGCCAGGCCUCCCUGUCCAUCACCAACUCCCGGAGUCUACUCAAACUCACGUCAACUGAGUUCGUGAUGCCAUCCAGCCAUCUCAUCCUCUGAUGUCUCCUUCUCCUCCUGCCCCCAGUCCCUCCCAGCAUCAGGGUAUUUUCCAAUGAGUCAACUCUUCGCAUGAGGUGGCCAAAGUAUUGGGGAAAGGUGAUUCGUGCAGAAAGAGGUGAGGUCAUCUGCGCAGGCGCAUUGGGUUGCUCACCUCUGCAUAUUUUAAAUGGAGGUGCCCAGAAGGAUCUGAGGGUGGAGUUUUCUAGUCCUCUGCCUUCCAAAGGCCAUUCAUGAGACACCACUCAGGUCAGUUUUAGGAUCAGCGGUCCCAACUGGUCUUAUCCAGCUCGCAGUGGAGAAGAGCUGACUCCGAGUUCCUAUAGAACAGCUGGGCUAUGGGAAGCUGAGCAGACAUUUUGGCUGGUUUCCAAACAUACAUCAUUGCUUGUCUGGUAUGAGGAAUGCCAUCUGUGCUCUAUGGAAAUCCUUUUUUAAAAAUGGACUGCUAAUUAUACUCCAGGAGGUGGGUCCUAGAGGAUCUUGCUGUGAUUCAUUUCAAAGAAUGUUGUGCCAUGUUCAAACCAAGACUUAACUAUAAUUUUUGCUGUCCCAGAGAUGGAAUUGUCAGUCAAUCAGGAAGCACCUGAUCUGCAUUUCUUAGGUGCAGUGUGCUCAGUCACGUCUGACUCCACGACCCCAUGGACUGUAACCCGCCAGGCUCCUCUGUCCAUGGGAUUUCCCAAGCAAGAAUACUGGAGUGGAUUGUCAUUUCCUCCUCUAGGGGAUCUUCCUAACCCAGGGAUGGAAACUGCAUCUCCUGUCUCCUGCAUUGGCAGGCAAUUCUUUGUCCCUGAGCCACUUGGGGGCGCCUCCUUAUAGACUGCCAGGCAAGUAGAAGAGCCUCGGUGAAGAGUCACUGAAGAAAUAAAUACCAUUGAAAUAAAAUGAUUUUAGUUGAGAAAUAGAGGAAGCAAAGCAUCAGAAACUCUAAGCAGCUUUUUCAGAGUUGCAUUAGAAUCGCUAAAUGGUUUGAAAUGUACCAAAGGCUCCGGCCAAGCCCAGAGCCUGGGAAUUCAUGUCAUGCCCAGGUGUGGUACCUGUCAACUCUGUGUGACAGCUCAGCAUUAUGACUUUUGUUUUCUAAAUUAGUCUGCUCCUAUUUGCUUUCAAGGAAAGGUCUUUAUGUCUGAUCCUUGAACAGUCUUCCAGAAUAAUAAUGGCAAUGUCUGUUUCAUCUCUGAUUAACUACUGGCCGAUUCUCCACAGCUCUUUCCUGAAGGAUGCUACAGCUCUGCAAAAGGCAUUCUAUGGACUUCGAGGGCCCAAGUAAAAGUGAAAGUUGUUCAGUUGUGUCUGACUCUUUGUGACCCCAUGGACUAUACAGUUCAUGGAAUUCUCCAAGCCAGAAUACUGAAGUGGGUAGCCGUUCCCUUCUCCAGGGUAUCUUCCCAAUCCAGGGACUGAACCCAGGUCUCCCACAUUGUAUGCAGAUCCUUUACCAGCUGAGCUACCAGGGAGGCCCAAUACCGGAGUGGGUAGCCUAUCCCUUCUCCAGCAGAUCUUCCCCACCCAGGAGUGGAACCAGGGUCUCCUGCAUUGCAGGCAGAUGCUUUACCAGCUGAGCUACAUGGAAAGCCCAUCUCAGGGCCCAAAUUUCCCCUAAAAAAGCUUGCAGGAAAUUGAUACCAGGGAUAGUAGCUGUUAUAUUUCACAUUCUUACAACCUCCAGGAAUCUGGCUGCCUGAAUUUUAUCAUGUAGCCUGUUAGGGAGUACGAUUCAAACAGGCUUUGAUUUAGCAUCGCCUUUGAAGCUUCCCCAGGCAACCUGGCUUAGUCAUGAAGGUCUAAACCGCGCAUAUUCCAUUUUCUGGUAAAUAUGUCAGUGCCACAUACGUAAAAUUUUAAGUAUAAUGCACGUACCCCUAACCUAUAGAUGCUGGCUAAAAAUGAAGCUUUUGAUUUAGCGUUCUCUGUACUGAGUCCAUACUACCCUUAGUAGCCAGACUAAUAGUAAAUGUCCUAUAAAUCUCUAAAAAUAGACCACUGCCAAUUUUGAUAGUCUGCAAAUAGUUGGAAAAACAGUAUGAGUCACUUUUUCAAGGAUGUUCUCUUUUUUUGUUAGCUUAAUAUUCCAUGAUAAGGUUACAUGACAAAAGUAAAUUGCAUAGGCUCAGUUCUGAAUAGGAUUGCAAAUCUAAUAAGUGGCUGCUUAUUUCACGUUGUUCUGUCUGUAGCUUCUCUCCAACUUGCACUUCACGAGUUGUGUUUAGUUGAGGUCCAGGAUUCAGAAACUCAAGCAGGAAGCAUCUGGGAAUUCUCUGCUUUGAAGUGUGCAUGGGUUAGAAAUAACCUGGAGAAGUGAGAACACCACUUGCUUUCCAGGUGGGCUACAUUUCUGAUCCUACUCAAGUUUGAUGGAUUUCAUUACAUCUUCUAGAUAUUUCCAUAACUAAAUGGUUUUAAUGUGAGGCAUUCUGAAGUUAGUAGGUGGAGAAAUUCCAAGGUUUUUUUUUUUUUUAACUUUUUAAUUUAUACUGCUUUUUAAAUUAUGGUUGUUGUUGGAAUCAGGCAUCAAUAUUUCCGUUUUCACCACCCAGGAGGGUCAAUGUGACUAUUUUCUGCCUCCUUUUUGCUGCCCCCUUUCCAGUUCUUCCUGCUAAGGCACUGAGAACAUUGUAUCCUCAGGGUGGGCUCCAGUGGUUGUCAAUAACAAAACUGCAAGCUCUUCAAAGUUAGGCUCUUUAUCUUUGCACCUUUCAUUCCUGGAGGUUGUAGGAAUGUGAAACAUAAAAGCUAAGCAUAAAAUUAAUUUUUAAUUUUUAUUAAUAAACAAAAUUAAUAUCACUGGUGUUAAUUUUCUGAUGGUCAAAAAAGUGUUGUAUUUACCUUCAUCAUAGUUCUCUUCUACUUUGGUUGCUUUUGAAAUUAUAAAUAUGACCUUGAAUAAUUUAAGUACUCUUUUGGAACCCCAGUUUUCUCAUUUGUAAAAUGAAAUAAAAAUAUGGACAUCAGAAGUUAAGGAUUAAACAGUGU